UAAUCACUCUCACUGCAUUGCUUUUCAUUUUUUUCCACCUUCUGUUGCAGUCAUCAGUCUUUGUCUACUUCUAGAGAGAUACAAAGUGAGGAUAAGCAAGAGCUGGAGCUGUGCUGACAAUGCUUUAGGAUGGCACAUUUACACUGUGUGAGUUCAGGAAGAGACAUGGUGUGGAAAAGGCUAAUAGUGCUGUACUCCAAUCCAGAAAGACACUUCAGAAUGGUUCUUGUCAUAACUCUGUGGCUUUCCCACAUGAGCCUGUCAUCAGUCCUGUGUUUCCAGCAAGCUUUACGCUUGAAAGAAGAAUAUGGAAAGAAACACUUGCUUGAAGUUUGAACUGAUUCUGAAAGAGAUGACAACAAUAAUUUUUGUUCUAAGCAUUGUCUGUCUUUGAAAUGAGAUUGCUGAAUUACAUUGACAAUUGAUCUCCUUAAAACUGUAGAAAAGCCAGAAGGUGAAGUGGUGAUAUUUAUGACACUGUUAAAUGUUCAGUUUUUCAUGUGAUUUUUCAUUGUUUAGCCUAAUAAACAGAGCAGAGCAUGGUGUAAUUAUCUGUGG
Molecule: long non-coding RNA, 558 nt
Filed under: Phasianus colchicus (ring-necked pheasant)
Lineage: Eukaryota; Metazoa; Chordata; Aves; Galliformes; Phasianidae
Description: lncRNA (ENSPCLG00000005841.1)
Source: RNAcentral